This 253-nucleotide ribosomal RNA is filed under the name uncultured prokaryote. RNAcentral's name for it is "partial 16S ribosomal RNA". It matches the Rfam family "Bacterial small subunit ribosomal RNA", at positions 524 to 776 of the family's 1533-position model. The record is from RNAcentral.
GACGAGGGAUCCUAGCGUUGCUCGGAAUCAUUGGGCGUAAAGCGGGUGUAGGUGGCUUGACAAGUCAGGUGUGAAAGCCCAGGGCUCAACCCUGGAAGUGCAUUUGAAACUGUCGAGCUUGAGUGCUAGAGAGGUUAUUAGAAUUCCUGGUGUAGCAGUGAAAUGCGUAGAUAUCAGGAGGAACACCGAUGGCGAAGGCGGCUAUCUGGCCCGUAAUUGACGCUGAGGCGCGAAAGCGUGGGGAGCAAACAGG